Molecule: ribosomal RNA, 403 nt
Filed under: uncultured bacterium
Lineage: Bacteria
Description: partial 16S ribosomal RNA
Rfam family: Bacterial small subunit ribosomal RNA
Source: RNAcentral
GACGAACGCUGGCGGCGUGCCUAAUACAUGCAAGUCGAACGUAGUGGGGACGGGUGAGUAACACGUGGGUAACCUCCCAUCAGAGGGGAUAACACUUGGAAACAGGUGCUAAACCGAUACUGAUGGAUGGACCCGCGGUGCAUUAGGUAGUUGGGGAGGGAACGGCUCACCAAGGCCACGAUGCAUAGCCGAACUGGGAGGGGGAUCGGCCACACUGGGAAUGAGACACGGGCCAGACUCCUACGGGAGGGAGCAGUAGGGAAUCUUCGGCAAUGGACGGAAGUCUGACCGAGCAACGCCGGGGGAGGGAAGAAGGUUUUCGGAUCGUAAAACUCUGUUAAUCGGGACGCGGUACCGGAAUAGAAAGCCACGGCUAACUACGUGCCAGCCGCCGCGGUAAUAC